RNAcentral lists this ribosomal RNA (253 nucleotides) under uncultured bacterium. Its description in RNAcentral is "partial 16S ribosomal RNA". It matches the Rfam family "Bacterial small subunit ribosomal RNA", at positions 524 to 776 of the family's 1533-position model. The record is from RNAcentral.
UACGUAGGGUGCAAGCGUUAUCCGGAAUUAUUGGGCGUAAAGAGCUCGUAGGCGGUUUGUCGCGUCUGCUGUGAAAACUGGAGGCUCAACCUCCAGCCUGCAGUGGGUACGGGCAGACUAGAGUGCGGUAGGGGAGAUUGGAAUUCCUGGUGUAGCGGUGGAAUGCGCAGAUAUCAGGAGGAACACCAAUGGCGAAGGCAGAUCUCUGGGCCGUAACUGACGCUGAGGAGCGAAAGCAUGGGGAGCGAGCAGG